RNAcentral lists this ribosomal RNA (674 nucleotides) under Bacillus subtilis. Its description in RNAcentral is "bacterial SSU rRNA". It matches the Rfam family "Bacterial small subunit ribosomal RNA", at positions 135 to 794 of the family's 1533-position model. Lineage: Bacteria; Bacillati; Bacillota; Bacilli; Caryophanales; Bacillaceae. The record is from RNAcentral.
AGACUGGGAUAACUCCGGGAAACCGGGGCUAAUACCGGAUGCUUGUUUGAACCGCAUGGUUCAAACAUAAAAGGUGGCUUCGGCUACCACUUACAGAUGGACCCGCGGCGCAUUAGCUAGUUGGUGAGGUAAUGGCUCACCAAGGCAACGAUGCGUAGCCGACCUGAGAGGGUGAUCGGCCACACUGGGACUGAGACACGGCCCAGACUCCUACGGGAGGCAGCAGUAGGGAAUCUUCCGCAAUGGACGAAAGUCUGACGGAGCAACGCCGCGUGAGUGAUGAAGGUUUUCGGAUCGUAAAGCUCUGUUGUUAGGGAAGAACAAGUACCGUUCGAAUAGGGCGGUACCUUGACGGUACCUAACCAGAAAGCCACGGCUAACUACGUGCCAGCAGCCGCGGUAAUACGUAGGUGGCAAGCGUUGUCCGGAAUUAUUGGGCGUAAAGGGCUCGCAGGCGGUUCCUUAAGUCUGAUGUGAAAGCCCCCGGCUCAACCGGGGAGGGUCAUUGGAAACUGGGGGAACUUGAGUGCAGAAAAGGAGAGUGGAAUUCCACGUGUAGCGGUGAAAUGCGUAGAGAUGUGGAGGAACACCAGUGGCGAAAGCGACUCUCUGGUCUGUAACUGACGCUGAGGAACGAAAGCGUGGGGAGCGAACAGGAUUAUAUACCUGGUAGU